UACAGAGGGUGCAAGCGUUAAUCGGAAUUACUGGGCGUAAAGCGUGCGUAGGUGGACGUUUAAGUCGAAUGUGAAAGCCCCGGGCUCAACCUGGGAACUGCAUCCGAUACUGGACGUCUAGAGUAUGGUAGAGGAAAGUGGAAUUCCCGGUGUAGCGGUGAAAUGCGUAGAUAUCGGGAGGAACAUCAGUGGCGAAGGCGACUUUCUGGACCAAUACUGACACUGAGGCACGAAAGCGUGGGGAGCAAACAGG
This 253-nucleotide ribosomal RNA is filed under the name uncultured bacterium. RNAcentral's name for it is "partial 16S ribosomal RNA". It matches the Rfam family "Bacterial small subunit ribosomal RNA", at positions 524 to 776 of the family's 1533-position model. The record is from RNAcentral.